CCGCUUAGAUCUGAUCCAACCCAUUUUAAAGGAUCCAUGGGGCUUUUUAAAAUUUGAUGUAUGUCAUCUUUUGGGUUCGAUCUAGAUUUACUGAAUUCAGACCUAAUCCAACCCAAACCCAAUAUAUCACUAAGACCAAACUUAUUUGAGUCUCUAAAUUGUGAUUUAAUACUUGUCUAAAAGAUGUCUCUAACAUAAAAGAGCAAUAUUGCUUAUUUCUAUUUUAUGUAGUUAAUAAUAGUUAGUUAUGUCAAAAUGUAGUUGACUAUGUUUGACCUGGACUCAAUCUGAACUUAAAUUUUUAGAUUAGGGCCCGAUUAACAUGGAUCCGAUCCGAUCCGAUCCGAAUAAUCUAUUGGGUCGAAAAUUUUGGCUAUAGAUCCUACUUGAUCUUCUAUUUGGUUGAUUUAACUCUAAUAUUAAGACUCGAUCAGCUAGGUUGGAUCAGGGUCACUUAUAACCCAAUCUUACCUGAUCCAUUUGCACCCUUAGUAAUAACUGA
Molecule: long non-coding RNA, 502 nt
Filed under: Elaeis guineensis (African oil palm)
Lineage: Eukaryota; Viridiplantae; Streptophyta; Magnoliopsida; Arecales; Arecaceae
Description: long non-coding RNA (EGUI_LNC007717)
Source: RNAcentral